CAGCGGCGUCCUUCAGGGUGCCUGACGGGGUCUCCAGCGGUGUCCUUCAGGGUGCCUGACGGGGUCUCCAGCGGUGUCCUUCAGGGUGCCUGACGGGGUCUCCAGUGGCUUCCUUCAGGGUGCCUGACGUGGUCUCCGGCGGCGUCCUUCAGGGUGCCUGACGGGGUCUCCAGCGGCGAUGAGGAGGUUGACUACGGACUUCUACGCAGACCUGUACGGUGGCAGCAACACUGAUCCACAGUGUGCUCAGCAGAUUCUACAGGGGAUGCCUAAGCUCGGGCCUGAGCAGAUUGCUGGGCUGGAGGGUGAUUUUUCAUCUCAGGAACUAACAGUGGCUGUGCAGCAGCUCUCCCCAGGCCGUGCGCCAGGGGUCGAUGGACUGACAGCUGAGUUUUAUAAAUGUUUCUGGGGUGUAUUGGGGAGGGACCUCUUAGAUGUCUUUCGGGAGUCCUUUGAGCGCUCAGUACUACCAGUCAGCUGCCAGCGGGCAGGGCUGUCACUACUGCUGAAGAAGGGGGACCUAGCUCUAUUGAGUAACGAGGCCAGUAUCGUUGCUCUGCUUGGAUUACAAAAUACUGUUGAAGUGUUUGGCAAAUCGGCUGAAAGGUUGUUUGGACAAAAUAGUUUACAGGACCAGGCAUACUCUGGACAACUUGUUUCUUUGAGAGAUGUGAUAGACAUCACUAGGAUGUAUGAUCAGGACUUGAGCCGGCCAGUCCCAGUUAGGACAGGGAUUAGGCAGGUUAGGCAGGAGCCAGAGAACCACUGCUGUAUAGGCUGAGGGAGAUGCUGCAGGGGACGUCAGUCCCAGUUAGGACAGGGAUUAGGCAGGUUAGGCAGGAGCCAGAGAACCACUGCUGUAUAGGCUGAGGGAGAUGCUGCAGGGGACGUCAGUCCCAGUUAGGACAGGGAUUAGGCAGGUUAGGCAGGAGCCAGAGAACCACUGCUCUAUAGGCUGAGGGAGAUGCUGCAGGGGAUGUCAGUUCCAGGGGCACUAGGUGGGGAGACGGUUUCAUUGUCGGCUUAUUUUGUAUUUUUCCUUUAUUUAACUAGGCAAGUCAGUUAAGAACAAAUUCUUAUUUACAAUGACGGCCUAGGAACAGUGGGUUAACUGCCUUGUUCAGGGGCAGAUCGACAGAUUUGUACCUUGUCAGCUCAGGGAUUUGGUUUAGAAACAUUUCGGUUUCUGGCCCAACACUCUAACCACUAGGCUACCUGCUGCUAUUCUGAUGAUGUAACAGUGUUUGUUAGAGGGGAGGAAGAUGUAGACGAGGUUAGCAGGGCUUUAGUGUUGUUUGAGGGUGCGGCAUCAGCUAAGGUGAACUGAGGUUGGCUGUGAACCUAUAUGUUGCAGGGCCUCAGUAUACUGUAGCCAAAUGAAAUGUUAAAAUUAAAUAAUGUUUGUUUUAAUGAUGUACAGUAAAUAUUUGAGCUAAAUAAAGUUGAUGUAUUUUUGAA
Molecule: long non-coding RNA, 1458 nt
Organism: Oncorhynchus tshawytscha (Chinook salmon)
Lineage: Eukaryota; Metazoa; Chordata; Actinopteri; Salmoniformes; Salmonidae
Source: Ensembl